CAUAGCGUAAUGAAGCGAACCGGGGGAACUGAAACAUCUAAGUACCCCGAGGAAAAGAAAUCAACCGAGAUUCCCCCAGUAGCGGCGAGCGAACGGGGAGCAGCCCAGAGUCUGAAUCAGCUUGUGUGUUAGUGGAACGGUCUGGAAAGUCCGACGGUACAGGGUGAUAGUCCCGUACACCAAAAUGCACAGGUUGUGAACUCGAAGAGUAGGGCGGGACACGUGGUAUCCUGUCUGAAUAUGGGGGGACCAUCCUCCAAGGCUAAAUACUCCUGACUGACCGAUAGUGAACCAGUACCGUGAGGGAAAGGCGAAAAGAACCCCGGCGAGGGGAGUGAAAAAGAACCUGAAACCGUGUACGUACAAGCAGUGGGAGCCUCUUUAUGGGGUGACUGCGUACCUUUUGUAUAAUGGGUCAGCGACUUAUAUUCUGUAGCAAGGUUAACCGUAUAGGGGAGCCGAAGGGAAACCGAGUCUUAACUGGGCGUUAAGUUGCAGGGUAUAGACCCGAAACCCGGUGAUCUAGCCAUGGGCAGGUUGAAGGUUGGGUAACACUAACUGGAGGACCGAACCGACUAAUGUUGAAAAAUUAGCGGAUGACUUGUGGCUGGGGGUGAAAGGCCAAUCAAACCGGGAGAUAGCUGGUUCUCCCCGAAAGCUAUUUAGGUAGCGCCUCGUGAAUUCAUCUUCGGGGGUAGAGCACUGUUUCGGCUAGGGGGUCAUCCCGACUUACCAACCCGAUGCAAACUGCGAAUACCGAAGAAUGUUAUCACGGGAGACACACGGCGGGUGCUAACGUCCGUCGUGAAGAGGGAAACAACCCAGACCGCCAGCUAAGGUCCCAAAGUCAUGGUUAAGUGGGAAACGAUGUGGGAAGGCACAGACAGCCAGGAUGUUGGCUUAGAAGCAGCCAUCAUUUAAAGAAAGCGUAAUAGCUCACUGGUCGAGUCGGCCUGCGCGGAAGAUGUAACGGGGCUAAACCAUGCACCGAAGCUGCGGCAGCGACACUAUGUGUUGUUGGGUAGGGGAGCGU
Molecule: ribosomal RNA, 1033 nt
Filed under: Citrobacter freundii
Lineage: Bacteria; Pseudomonadati; Pseudomonadota; Gammaproteobacteria; Enterobacterales; Enterobacteriaceae
Description: partial 23S ribosomal RNA
Rfam family: Bacterial large subunit ribosomal RNA
Source: RNAcentral